GUGAGGUGGUGCACCUUGCCUGUCACGGGGCGCCUGGGGCGGGCCUGAGUGCUUGCUCUUAAGUGUUUCCUAAGUGGCUUGAACGAAAUGAGGGAAAAAAUUAUGUAAAACUAAAACAUGUGUUUUAUUGCUAGAUAUGAAUUUAUAAUUUGCGCCAUAGUUGUUAAAGGCAUGUUCGAGGCACAAGGGCACAAGACACUAGCCCUAGUUUGCCUGGCAUGAUGGGCCCCAACAGGAAAGGUGCACCUCACAAGCGCCUCCAACUUCCGCAAGUUGUGUCACUGGUUGAGGCCACCGUGUCCAUCACCAUUCUCAAAAGUUCCUACUUUUCUAGAAUCCAGUGUUGAUGUGCCAGAAAGCCAUUGUAAUCUUACGAAACCACCACUUCUGAAAUUGUGCGUGGCUAAUAGUUGUGCCUCAGAUCUCUCUCUUCCUACCAUGGUUUCAAAUCGACGUCACGGUCACGUUCGCAAGUAACGAAAACAGGCCUAUAAUGGUCGUAAUGUAACGGUAACGGCAUAACGCUACGCAAAUUUUUUUGAAAA
Molecule: unclassified non-coding RNA, 545 nt
Filed under: Hevea brasiliensis (rubber tree)
Lineage: Eukaryota; Viridiplantae; Streptophyta; Magnoliopsida; Malpighiales; Euphorbiaceae
Source: RNAcentral